GAUGAAGAACGUAGCGAAAUGCGAUAAGUAAUGUGAAUUGCAGAAUUCAGUGAAUCAUCGAAUCUUUGAACGCACCUUGCACCCUUUGGUAUUCCGAAGGGUAUGCUCGUUUGAGUGUCAUUGUACUCUCACACUUCUAAUUCCUUUCGGGAUUGGGAGCGGUGGACCUGGGUGUUGCUGCUUUAGUUGUGGCUCACCUCAAAUAAGUUAGUGCAACUCUUGGUUGGACAUAGUACGGCGUGAUAAGUGUCUUCGCCGGCGCCUCUGUAAGGAGGGUGGCCGAUCGGGAGCUCUGUGCUUCAAACCGUCUUCGGACAAUCUUUGACAACUUGACCUCAAAUCGAGUAGGACUACCCGCUGAACUUAAGCAUAUCAAUAAGCGGAGGA
This 387-nucleotide unclassified non-coding RNA is filed under the name soil metagenome. Its description in RNAcentral is "partial contains 5.8S ribosomal RNA, internal transcribed spacer 2, and large subunit ribosomal RNA". The stretch from base 1 to 120 matches the Rfam family "5.8S ribosomal RNA", at positions 35 to 154 of the family's 154-position model. The record is from RNAcentral.